This 467-nucleotide ribosomal RNA is filed under the name uncultured bacterium. RNAcentral describes it as "partial 16S ribosomal RNA". It matches the Rfam family "Bacterial small subunit ribosomal RNA", at positions 28 to 506 of the family's 1533-position model. The record is from RNAcentral.
GACGAACGCUGGCGGCGUGCUUAACACAUGCAAGUCGAACGGAAAGGCCCUGCUUUUGUGGGGUGCUCGAGUGGCGAACGGGUGAGUAACACGUGAGUAACCUGCCCUUGACUUUGGGAUAACUUCAGGAAACUGGGGCUAAUACCGGAUAGGAGCUCCUGCUGCAUGGUGGGGGUUGGAAAGUUUCGGCGGUUGGGGAUGGACUCGCGGCUUAUCAGCUUGUUGGUGGGGUAGUGGCUUACCAAGGCUUUGACGGGUAGCCGGCCUGAGAGGGUGACCGGCCACAUUGGGACUGAGAUACGGCCCAGACUCCUACGGGAGGCAGCAGUGGGGAAUAUUGCACAAUGGGCGGAAGCCUGAUGCAGCAACGCCGCGUGCGGGAUGACGGCCUUCGGGUUGUAAACCGCUUUCGCCUGUGACGAAGCGUGAGUGACGGUAAUGGGUAAAGAAACACCAGCUAACUACGU